UCAUCGGAAGGUGGACGCCGUCCAGCUCACAUCAUUCUCACCUUCUGCGUAUAUUCUCAUUCCGCCUACAUCCUGUUUUCAUUUUCUCUUCAAGCAUCAAUCCAGGAGAAAAGUCACAUCCUCAGACGCAGGUCGUCGCCAUGACCCUGAAGGGAGGACCGUGCUUCCUUCUGCUCAUCGUUGCCUGUGCAGUCCUGGCUACACCUUCAGACGCAAGGGGAAAAAAUAAACUCCAGUACAAGAACGCUGUCCAAAAAAUGAUAAUGAAGUGCCGUGAAAAAGAUUACGCCAAACCUCAGAAGCCUCUUUUGGAAACCAUCUUCAGUGAAAACGACAUGCCGAUCGAGGGCAGAGACGGCGACCAAGCAGAAACUCUCCUCUCCUCUUUUCUUGACGUCUUGAAUCCUGAGGGAAAGAAGAAGGCCCCAGCUGGUCGACCGACCCGACCCCCCAUGGAGGAUCCAAAAAAACCGACGAGCAAAGCGUUGAAGUGCCGUCACCUUUCAGCAAUGCUCAAGAAAAUGAGAAACACCACAGAGGAAACUGCGUGUUACUUGCGUGCCUUUAUUUCCCCUGUGGCCUACAAGGCUUGGAAUGAAAAUUGUAAGGAUGAAAUCAGCCCAGAUGAGUAUGACGCUCUACUGUGGGGCGCCGAACCUCUGCUGGAGGAAAGUCCAUCUGCCAGGAUGAACCUCCCCACCCAGCUGGAUGCACAGAAGAUGAAACCGACGUUAAAGACGCUGCUGCGCGUGUACGACUCCAUGGCCGACAGCGAAAGGAGCUUUGUGGCAAAGUGGGCAAAGGAUCAGAUAACCCAGAACACUUUCAACUGCACCAUGAAGGCUUCGUCUGACCCAAGCUCACGAAAGAAGAAACUGUGCAAGGCGCCGCAGAAGCAGCUGAGCCUCGAGGUGUUGACCGUGAUGGGAGCCUUCAUGUCCCACAUGAGCACAGAGGACAUCAGCUCAUCUCGCAAAGAAAAGAUGUGUGAUUUUUUCCGGUCGGGACUCUUAGGCAUCAUAAAGGGAGCAACACCCACCAAGUGCAAAUGGUUCCUCAAGAGAUACCGAGCCUGCUUCAGCGAGAAGGAGUUUCUGGAGCAUCUGGAUAAGCUCGGUCCGCUGACCUGCUGUCUCAGUGAGCUUCCAGAUUUGCCUCCAGAUGUCAGCAGAAAAGUUCUCUCUCAGCUUGAACGCUGCGACGGCUCCAUGACCAAAAACCUGAGGAAGCGCCUGGUCAAGCUCUACAUGCUGUCAAACUCGAAAAAUGCUCAAGCACUGCAGAACCUGGGCAAGAACGCAAAGUUUCUGGAAGCCAAACAAUUCCUGGAGCUCAAUUCCGACACUCUCAAAGAGAUUGUGAAAAACCAGAGAGUCCAGUGGACAGAAAACCAGCAAUGCAUGCUGGUCAAAAAACAGCUGGGGGAGAAGUGUGAUGAGAUGUCAAACAUGGAGCUGAAAGAUGUUCAGUCGCUUGCAAAAGCUCUGCCGGUCUGCAUCCUGAAGCGCUUGAAAGUUGAGAAGAUCCUGAAGGACUCAGAAGUCCUGAAGAACAUCAGCGGGACAAUGAGACGGGGUCAGCUGAAGGCCAUGCUGCAGAAGUUACCGCCGGAUGUGCUGAAGAACAUGAUGAUGCCUCGGCGUUUGGCCUGCGCCGUGUCCCUCAGCAGUCUGAAGAAGGCAAACAUCACCUCUCUGGAACUGGCGGAGAACAGAACCUGGUGCCGGUCACAGGCAGCUUAUCUGGCAAAGAUGAUUAAGAAUGAAAAGCAAGUCAAUUUCAGGAAGCUGCGCUCCAUCCUUGGAGGAUUCUCCUGUGAGAUGAUUGAGAAGGCUGAAGACAUAAAGGAGCUGGCUCAGGCCAUGGCCGAGGCUCCACAGUGGCUCUCCAAAACACAGGUCAGAUGUGCCGCCCGAAAGCUGUUUGCCACUCUCGAGAAUAAGGGAAAAGAUUAUUUUAAGAACAUCACUGAAGAGGAGCUCAAUGAUAUUCCCACCGAAUUCCUUCUUCACCUGCCGCCUCCAGACGUGAGGGAUUUGCCUGACUGGGUGUGCCCCACGUUCCUGGAAAAGCUGGAAAAGGCCAGCCUGAGCCUGUUACCUCUGCGUUCCUGGACCCGCCCGGCGCUGAUCAACAGGGCUCUGCGCUGCAUGGCUGAUGAGUCGGAUUUGUCUGUUCUGACCAUUCCCGACAUCUCCACCCUCGGGCCGCUGAUAUGCGACUUUCCGCCCGCCAAACUGGCCCUCUUGGCCCCUGACGUCCUCAGAGCCACUCUCCAGACGAUGGCCGACUGCGAGCACAUCCCCAAACGCCACCUGGAAGCGCUGAUUUGGCUGGUCAAGCAGACCUUUGGAGAUCCGUCAAACUGGACUCCUGACAUAAUCGAGUUGAUAGGCUCUAUUUUACUGCUGGACAUCGACUCCGUAUCUGCGCUGCCUAAAAAACCCUUGUUGAAGGAUACUUUAUAUUUCCUGAUGUCAAAGAGGCGUCAGGUUUCAAACGCUCUGAGGAAGAAAUGGUUCGAACUGGCCACUGAAGCCUCGUCGGAGACGACAGCCGAUUCCGACAGCGCUGAGUCAAACGGUCAGAAGGUCCCCAUUAAACCCACUGAGCGGCUGAUCGAAGAGGUGGAAAUGAGCACCUGCUACUGGAGCCCCUCGCAGCUGGAAGCCAUCUCAAAGGAAACCUUCCAGAACACCGUGGAGACGCUCGGCACCUGUUCUAGCUACAGCGCCGAGCAGCUGGAAGUGCUUCGUAGAAAAGCAGUCGAGGCGUUUGGCUCAGUGAAACAAAUGGCCGGGUGUCAGCUUAUGAAGCUGGGAUGUAUCACCCAGGGCUUCUCUGAAGCCGAUCUGGAGAUGCUCCCCUUCUCCAUCGACUCUCUGGAGGAAAUCUCCAAAUGCGCCUGGACUGAAUCACAGAUGAAGUCGGUGUGGAGGGGCGUCGCUCAGCGGAACAACCUGAAAGCGCCGGACCUGGGCCCUGCGGAGAUGGUGGCCCUGAACCGCUUCAUAUGUGGUCUGAACAGCAGCGAGAUCCAGCAGCUCAGCAAGGAGGCCUUCAAAGACGCCGUGGGCUCCAUGAACGGCCUCAACUGUGCCCCAAAGAUCAUGCAGCGCAUCAAAAGAGUUGCCGUGGCUGCAUUUGGAGCCCCCAGCAGCUGGGACGACUCAGAAACCAAUGAGCUGAGCAACAUCGUCCCUAUGCUGGACGGGUCUGAGCUGGCUUCUCUGGUUUCUUCUGCCUUCUCCUUCAUCGACGAGACAGUGAUCCCACGAAUUCCCCCGGGCAGCUUGAAAGCGCUCUCUGAGGAUCAGCUAAAGUCUUUUGGGCCUGACAACGCUGAAGUGGUCACCAGCGCUCAGCUGGGGGAGCUGAGCGUCGCUCAGCGCGCCGCCCUGGACGCGGCCGCCACCGGAUCCCACAGCGCGUCACAAACCCCCGAGAACUCCAGUCAGGUCUCAGGUGAAAAGUCAGGAGCUCCGUCUCUGGAUGUGGAGGGGGUCUUGGCCCUGACGAAGCCCUUCCUGUUCCUCUGCAUGGGCUUCCUGCUUCUCUAAAUACACCAUCAUCAAAUCCACCUGCAGGAGCUUUCGUCGUCUGAAAAGUUAUCAUAAAGCACUUUAAAAUAGACACAAUACCUGCAAACGAAUUAAUGCUAAAAAAAAAAAAAAAAACAUGAAAUGAUCGUCGGCAUCUUAUGUUUGAUUGAUGGAGUGCAGCUGCAGGACAAAUCAUAAUCAGACGCUCCAGUAAGACGUGUCAAAGUUUAGACCUGCUUCAAGAUUUCCGUUAGACGUAUACAAUGUGUACAAGUGUAUUUUAGUGGCACACAGAUGACUGUGUAACGAUCUGAUGCUAUCUGAAUGGGUUUGUGGUGUAGAAAACAUUUGCUAUGCACUGAUGCAGGAGGAGAAUAUAUAUUUGAUUCAAUAAAGAGUAAUAUAUUACAAGUUACUGUGGAAAUGUUGGAUGUGGAAACUGAAGUGUUUCGCAUUGCUACAGCUGAGGAGCAUUCAGUCGGAUCAAUAAUGACAUUAGGAUCAAUCAUUUUCAAACUUUCAGCUCCUGUUUACCUGAUUAAUGCUGAACCAACCCGACCUCAAUAUUAGGACACUGUCAAACAGUACAAACCUUCACAAACCUUUUUAUUUUCAGCAGUGAAUAAACAACAAAAAGCCCAGAAAUGAACAAAAGUACGGAUGCUUUACUAGCAGUAAAUUAAAAAGCGAGGUUUAGAAAAACAUGUUUGCAUACCAAAAGUUUUAUUUAUUUUCAGCUCUUUUAGAGUAAACAAACACAGUAUGAUUCACUAACAAAUGGAUUUCAGAGUCUGAUCACAAUAAAUAAUAUACAUGAGCGCUUGUGGCAAACCAUUUCCAACAACACAGAAUCCACGUUUAAACCGUGAAGUCCUCAUUCUGUCACCAGGCUCUGGUUCAUGCUCAUAGGAAAGCUGACGUGGAUCAUUGAUGGAAGUUAACCGAGUUGUGCGACUAAAUGAACGCUAACCAGACGCUGCAAGUUCAAGUUGGGAAUCAAUCCGAUUCCUGUAACCUGCUGUGAAAAAGAGCUGGCAAUGAUUCACAGGUAUGCUUGAGGAAAGUGGAUAAUCGUGUUUUACAGUACUGCAACGAUUCUCAAGAAAACACGGAAACAAACAGUCAGCAGGACAAAAAACAAAAAACAAAAAAAAAAAACGCCUGAAGCCAGACGAGGUUUCUGGA
RNA transcript from Salarias fasciatus (jewelled blenny), 4727 nucleotides. It is a transcript of the gene named otoancorin, with no coding region annotated. The transcript has 31 exons. Lineage: Eukaryota; Metazoa; Chordata; Actinopteri; Blenniiformes; Blenniidae. The record is from RefSeq and is a predicted model, not a curated record.